UGCUUAGCUCAGCUGGUAGAGCGGCGCCCUUACAAGGCGUAGGUCGGGGGUUCGAACCCCUCAGCA
Molecule: transfer RNA, 66 nt
Filed under: Alcaligenes faecalis
Lineage: Bacteria; Pseudomonadati; Pseudomonadota; Betaproteobacteria; Burkholderiales; Alcaligenaceae
Also listed under: 5 other names
Rfam family: tRNA
About the family: Transfer RNA (tRNA) molecules are approximately 80 nucleotides in length. Their secondary structure includes four short double-helical elements and three loops (D, anti-codon, and T loops).
Source: RNAcentral